GAUGAACGCUGGCGGCGUGCCUAAUACAUGCAAGUCGAACGGGGAGUAGCAAUACUCUUAGUGGCGAACGGGUGAGUAACGCGUUGGUACCUGCCCCGAAGCGGGGGAUAACGGACCGAAAGGUCCGCUAAUACCCCAUGUGCCCGGUAACGAGUAAAGGUGAAAACCACUUUGGGAGGGGCCUGCGUCCCAUCAGCUAGUUGGUAAGGUAACGGCUUACCAAGGCGAUGACGGGUAGGGGACCUGAGAGGGUGGCCCCCCACAAUGGAACUGAAACACGGUCCAUACACCUACGGGUGGCAGCAGUAGGGAAUAUUGGUAAUGGGCGCAAGCCUGAACCAGCAACGCCGCGUGUGCGAUGACGGCCGUCGGGUUGUAAAGCACUUUUGACUGGGACGAGGAAGGACGGUACCGGUCGAAUCAGCCUCGGCUAACUACGUG
RNAcentral lists this ribosomal RNA (441 nucleotides) under uncultured bacterium. Its description in RNAcentral is "partial 16S ribosomal RNA". It matches the Rfam family "Bacterial small subunit ribosomal RNA", at positions 28 to 507 of the family's 1533-position model. The record is from RNAcentral.